GUGACACUCGUUUAAUUAUAAUAAUUUUUCAGGGGAUUGAAAAUGAAAACAUACUUGAAAAUUAUGAAAACGAGUUUCCGCCACUUAUCGAAGCUGAACUUGCACCUAAACCCCAUAAUCAGGAACUUUGGAGUCAAGUUGUCUCAAAUCCAACACUCAUUUAUGGGUUGGCAUCCUCUGAAGCUCCUGAAAAUUGUUAUGUCCAGAGGGUGAGUAAAACUGUUAAUUCAAUGAUUACCCCAUUUUAUCGGAUCCUUUUUUAUUAAAUUCAGGUUGCUGUAGACAAAAACACAAAAUAUAUUAGUAAUAGUGUCACUCUCGAGUUGAUUUAGAUUAUAAGACAAAGCUUUUUUAAGUCGAUGAAAAUUACAGGAAAAUGAUUACUCAUGUGAAAAGACGACAACUGGGGUUGGAGUUCUUAUACUGAAACAGAAAAACAGUAAAUGUAAAACAACACAAGCUCAGAGAUUCAAGGAGAAAGAAAAAAAACAAAAAGCUUAUAAAGCUAAGGUGAGUAAAAACAAACAUGGACAAUGCAGAACAGAAUCCCUAUCAUUUGGAAUUAAUUUACACAACGGAUUCGAAAGACUAAGCCUACGAGAACAGCUGUGCAACAAUUCAAAAAAUGAAGAAUGUCAUUCAUACGAAAAUAGGACAACAGGGGAUGAAGCUGUCGCACCAAAAAAGAAACCCAUUAGAAAAACAAGAGCUCAGCGAAACAAAAAGAAAGAAGAAAAACGAAAAGU
Bolinopsis microptera is the source of this 746-nucleotide long non-coding RNA. RefSeq lists it as uncharacterized. NCBI's taxonomy places the organism in Eukaryota, Metazoa, Ctenophora, Tentaculata, Lobata, Bolinopsidae. The transcript has 4 exons. The record is from RefSeq and is a predicted model, not a curated record.